RNAcentral lists this ribosomal RNA (248 nucleotides) under uncultured bacterium. RNAcentral's name for it is "partial 16S ribosomal RNA". It matches the Rfam family "Bacterial small subunit ribosomal RNA", at positions 523 to 769 of the family's 1533-position model. The record is from RNAcentral.
AUACGGAGGGUGCAAGCGUUAUUCGGAAUUACUGGGCGUAAAGCGCGUGCAGGCGGGCGAGCAAGUCUGAUGUGAAAGCCCCGGGCUUAACCUGGGAAGUGCAUUGGAAACGGUUCGUCUUGAGUUCUGGAGAGGAGUGGGGGAAUUCCCGGUGUAGAGGUGAAAUUCGUAGAGAUCGGGAGGAAUACCAGUGGCGAAGGCGCCCAUCUGGACAGUAACUGACGCUGAGACGCGAAAGCGUGGGGAGC